RNAcentral lists this long non-coding RNA (1713 nucleotides) under Canis lupus dingo (dingo). RNAcentral's name for it is "lncRNA (ENSCAFG00020026501.1)". The record is from RNAcentral. Lineage: Eukaryota; Metazoa; Chordata; Mammalia; Carnivora; Canidae.
AUGGAGCGCACGGGGGUAAAAGACCCACCGCCACCUGCCCACACCGCCCUCCCUCGGGUGCCGGAGACCGGAGGGCGACACCGCGACCCGGGCCACCUGGAGUCCAGCACGAGAGCCGGCGCGCAGGCCCAGGCGGACGGCUCAGGCUCCAGCGAGCGAGGACAGGGACCGGCUCGGCCGCGCGGUCAAGCCCGGAACCCCACCCGCGCCCAGAGGCCCACAUCUCUAAGGCGAGCGACGGACGGACCGGCUGUCUUUUACGUCUGCCUGUCGUCUGUCUGCCUGUCGCCGAAACACAACGUGUCAGCACCUACCUGGCAACAAAAAAUGUUCAUUUCGGGCAAGAAAAUAACCGCGCCUGCCGGCGGGGACCAGCCACAGGUCACCGCGACCUCCCGGGACCGUGACACGGCCAACUGUACCCAAAACCUGCCCCACGGCGCCCCCCCACCCCCACCCCACGGAGCCCCCAGGGCUAUCUGGUCGACCCAGGGAACGCGGGGGGGGGGGGGGGAGGGGAGGAGGGGCGAUACGCGGUCGGUGGAGACGCCACGCCGCCACGCCGCCACGCCGCCACGCCGCCAAGCCAGUGAUCUCCGAGAGGAGACUUUGAAAAAUCAUCAAAGUUCUCCGGAGGCAGGCACCGUGCGGAGGCCGUCCCCCGCGGCCCUCAGGACCGCCCCGUGCCUACCGCCGUCCCCAACCCCGGCUCGGGCCAGGGGAGGUGGAGGGCCACGCGCGGCAGAGGCAGCCUCACCGGGAAUCGCCACCGGGGCCGGACGCCCGAACGGACGGCCCGCCCACCCCCGCGUGGCACCCGGUCCGACCGCCCGGGACCCACCUCCGCAGCGGGCCUCGGAACAAGGGGAGAAAAUCGCGUCCGACGCCCGGGACCCCCACACGUGCCCGCAGCCGGGUCUGUCGCGCCACCCACGGGCUUCCCCUCCAGGCUCAGACCGGUCCCCGUCGCCAGGGCGUGACCACGGGAGACAACCGAGUGACACGGAAGGCAGGCCCGAAGAUCGCCCGGAGCCACAGGACGGACGGCGGGACACACCCUGUCCCCCGCCCCCGAGGCGGCCCAGGUCGGUCCGCGCGGGCGGAGGAGGAGCCACCGGCGGGUGCUGGUCGACCCACCCAGGCGGCCCGCACGGCCUCCUCCGGGAGCGAGGCGGAGGCGACAGCGGCGACAGCGGCGACGGCGACACUCCCUCGCAGCUCCGGAGGUCCAAUCUCCGGCGAGCGCAUCGCGCGCCGAGGCCCCGGCGACAGCCGGACGCUCGCGCCGGAGCCGCCCUCCUCCUGGAACUCGGCCCCGGGAAACCGACACCAAAGCUGUUCCUUGCCUGUCGCCGCCGAGCCUCCGGAGGGGACACGCUCUAUAAAAGCGGCCGCCAGGUGGCACCCGACAACCGGCGCGAACGACAGCGGGACAGAUCCGGGCGGCGAGGCCGUCAGGGCGCCUCGGAUCUCGCCUCUCGGCCCGGGGACGGCGGAGGGCCCCGGGAGCACACGGCCGCGCACCGCGCGAACCCCCGUCCUCCCGGGGCGGGGGAGCCUUGGAAAACCCGUCCGUCCGUCCGUCCGUCCGUCCGGGCCCGCUGCCGCCCGGAAAGGGGGUCGCGCUCGCCGCGCGGGGCUCCCGGGACGACUCAGGCACGUUUCCGAGGUCAGGGAGGGAACGUAGAGCCGAAACCAGGCGAGGACUCUUAG